This 409-nucleotide ribosomal RNA is filed under the name uncultured soil bacterium. RNAcentral describes it as "bacterial SSU rRNA". It matches the Rfam family "Bacterial small subunit ribosomal RNA", at positions 26 to 453 of the family's 1533-position model. The record is from RNAcentral.
AGAACGAACGCUGGCGGCAUGCCUAAUACAUGCAAGUCGAACGAACUCUUCGGAGUUAGUGGCGCACGGGUGCGUAACGCGUGGGAAUCUGCCCCUUGGUUCGGAAUAACAGUUGGAAACGACUGCUAAUACCGGAUGAUGACGAAAGCCCAAAGAUUUAUCGCCAAGGGAUGAGCCCGCGUAGGAUUAGCUAGUUGGUGAGGUAAAGGCUCACCAAGGCAACGAUCCUUAGCUGGUCUGAGAGGAUGAUCAGCCACACUGGGACUGAGACACGGCCCACGACCCCGUACGGGAGGCAGCAGGUAGGGAAUAGUUGGAACAAGUGGGACGAAAGCCUGACUCCAGCAAGUGCCGCGUGAGUGAGUGAAGGCCGUUAAGGUUAGUAAGCCGUUACUUUUAACCGAGUAUA